This 234-nucleotide ribosomal RNA is filed under the name uncultured bacterium. Its description in RNAcentral is "partial 16S ribosomal RNA". It matches the Rfam family "Bacterial small subunit ribosomal RNA", at positions 524 to 757 of the family's 1533-position model. The record is from RNAcentral.
UACGGGGGGGCAAGCGUUGUUCGGAAUUACUGGGCGUAAAGGGCUCGUAGGUGGCCAACUAAGUCAUACGUGAAAUCCCUCGGCUUAACCGGGGAACUGCGUCUGAUACUGGAUGGCUUGAGGUUGGGAGAGGGAUGGCGGAAUUCCACGUGUAGCGGUGAAAUGCGUAGAUAUGUGGAAGAACACCGGUGGCGAAGGCGAUUUUCUAGAUUAUUCCUGACGCUGAUGCGCGAA